Molecule: ribosomal RNA, 404 nt
Filed under: Fusobacteriota bacterium
Lineage: Bacteria; Fusobacteriati; Fusobacteriota
Description: Fusobacteria bacterium partial 16S ribosomal RNA
Rfam family: Bacterial small subunit ribosomal RNA
Source: RNAcentral
UGGGGAAUAUUGCACAAUGGAGGGAACUCUGAUGCAGCGACGCCGCGUGAGUGAUGAAGGAAUUCGUUUCGUAAAACUCUGUUCUAUGGGAAGAAAAGGACUGUACCAUAGGAGAAAGCUCCGGCUAAAUACGUGCCAGCAGCCGCGGUAAUACGUAUGGAGCGAGCGUUAUCCGGAAUUAUUGGGCGUAAAGGGUGCGCAGGCGGCUUUACAAGUUGGAUGUGAAAUAUUGUGGCUCAACCACAAACGUGCAUCCAAAACUGCAAAGCUUGAGUUAAGGAGAGGUAAGUGGAAUUCCUGGUGUAGCGGUGGAAUGCGUAGAUAUCAGGAGGAAUACCGGUGGCGAAGGCGACUUACUGGACUUAAACUGACGCUCAGGCACGAAAGCGUGGGGAGCAAACAGG